ACCUGGCUGGCUCAGUUAGUAGAGCAUGAGACUCUUGAUCUUGGGGUUGUGAGUUUGAGCCCCACAUUGGGUG
Molecule: transfer RNA, 73 nt
Filed under: Ailuropoda melanoleuca (giant panda)
Lineage: Eukaryota; Metazoa; Chordata; Mammalia; Carnivora; Ursidae
Rfam family: tRNA
About the family: Transfer RNA (tRNA) molecules are approximately 80 nucleotides in length. Their secondary structure includes four short double-helical elements and three loops (D, anti-codon, and T loops). Further hydrogen bonds mediate the characteristic L-shaped molecular structure. tRNAs have two regions of fundamental functional importance: the anti-codon, which is responsible for specific mRNA codon recognition, and the 3' end, to which the tRNAs corresponding amino acid is attached (by aminoacyl-tRNA synthetases). tRNAs cope with the degeneracy of the genetic code in two manners: having more than one tRNA (with a specific anti-codon) for a particular amino acid; and 'wobble' base-pairing, i.e. permitting non-standard base-pairing at the 3rd anti-codon position.
Source: Rfam by way of RNAcentral